UCCAGCGGUGGGCUGUUAGCGUGCGCCUCUGAACCCAAGCUCACUUUUCAGCCAAAUCCUUUUUUUCUAACCUCCAUGUACUUCAAAUUAUUAUCUGUUAUCCAAGAUACUCUGAACAUUGAAGGUACACAGUGAGACGGCAUGGACGCGGGAGGAGAGAGGUGCAGCACGGCUGAGAAGUGCGCACUCAGACUCGGACUGGGACGAGCGACGAGCGUCUCCAAUGGCUUCUCAGUCUGAAACUGGCGCUGACUGGACUGGGCAGACUUUGGCUGUAGGAAGGCGUGAAUUCUUCUGCAAAAUGGAAGAUGUCUUAGCAGGAGACAGACUGCGGCCCCCCACCCACUCAGCAGCCGCCGGUGACCCCUGACCUCUUCAUGUGUUUAUAUCAGAUGGUGGAAGUGAGAAAUAGUGAUGAGUCACCGGGCUCUGUGUUUACACUCUGGAGUCACGCAAGGAAGGAAAUCAGGCCCGGUCUGGUGGCGAGGUGAGGAGGAGGAGAGGAGGAGAGGAGAGCAGCAGCACCGGCUUCACUG
Boleophthalmus pectinirostris (great blue-spotted mudskipper) is the source of this 536-nucleotide long non-coding RNA. RefSeq lists it as uncharacterized. NCBI's taxonomy places the organism in Eukaryota, Metazoa, Chordata, Actinopteri, Gobiiformes, Gobiidae. The record is from RefSeq and is a predicted model, not a curated record. The transcript is spliced from 3 exons.